GGACUACCCGGGUAUCUAAUCCUGUUUGCUCCCCACGCUUUCGCACCUAAGUGUCAGUAUUGGUCCAGAUAGCCGCUUUCGCCACUGGUGUUCCUUCCGAUAUCUACGCAUUUCACCGCUACACCGGAAAUUCCACUAUCCUCUACCAUACUCAAGAUAUCCAGUAUCGGAGGCAAUUCCCAGGUUAAGCCCAGGGCUUUCACUUCCGACUUAAAUAUCCACCUACGUGCGCUUUACGCCCAGUAAUUCCGAUUAACGCUUGCACCCUCUGUAUUACCGCGGCGGCUGGCAC
Molecule: ribosomal RNA, 292 nt
Filed under: uncultured bacterium
Lineage: Bacteria
Also listed under: 1 other name
Description: partial 16S ribosomal RNA
Source: RNAcentral